Molecule: ribosomal RNA, 509 nt
Filed under: uncultured Prevotella sp.
Lineage: Bacteria; Pseudomonadati; Bacteroidota; Bacteroidia; Bacteroidales; Prevotellaceae
Description: partial 16S ribosomal RNA
Source: RNAcentral
CACGGAAUUAGCCGGUCCUUAUUCAUGCGGUACCUGCAAACAACCACACGUGGCUGACUUUAUCCCCGCAUAAAAGCAGUUUACAACCCAUAGGGCAGUCAUCCUGCACGCUACUUGGCUGGUUCAGACUUACGUCCAUUGACCAAUAUUCCUCACUGCUGCCUCCCGUAGGAGUUUGGACCGUGUCUCAGUUCCAAUGUGGGGGACCUUCCUCUCAGAACCCCUACUGAUCGUCGGUUUGGUGGGCCGUUACCCGCCAACUGCCUAAUCAGACGCAUCCCCAUCCUUUACCGAUAAAAUCUUUGAUCAAAGUCUCAUGAGAGCUUUCGAUAACAUCCGGUAUUAAUCCAACUUUCGCUGGGCUAUACCAGAGUAAAGGGAGGUUGGAUACGCGUUACUCACCCGUGCGCCGGUCGCCAACAUCGGUUGCAAGCAACCAAUUUGAUGCCCCUCGACUUGCUAUGUGUUAAGCCUGUAGCUAGCGUUCAUCCUGAGCCAGGAUCAAACUC